UAGGGGUGCUGCUUUAUUUGUUAGAUAAUUCAAUUACGAUAAAGCAGCACCUUUGA
RNAcentral lists this non-coding RNA (56 nucleotides) under Blattella germanica (German cockroach). Lineage: Eukaryota; Metazoa; Arthropoda; Insecta; Blattodea; Blattellidae. The record is from RNAcentral.